AACUGUGGAUGUGGGAGCGCCUUCCUGUUGGCCGGCCGGAGCGUUAUGCUCAUGGAGUUACGCCAUUAUACGAGGGAGAGGCUGUGGCUACAGUGGGUUGGUUAUGGAACAAUAUUGGUACCGUGCAGGGUAAUCCAGGAAGGCGGUACAUAGACUUCAACAAUGCCCUUGAUUGCCUAAAUGCUGCACACGUUGAAUGGCAACCAUACAAUCGCAUGGAGGUGCAAAACAUGAAUCUUAGUCCGCAAUGCAUGAGGGAUAAUGAAUACUGGCGCUCAGUUUGCCCUCUUAUUUGCUAUUACAUUGUUGAGUACCACCUUCCAAAUUGGGUGAUGCGCCAAUUUGAAAUACUUCAGUCUUGUCCGCCUGAGUAUAUUAAUACUAGCCAUGA
This is a long non-coding RNA of Panicum virgatum (switchgrass), 391 nucleotides long. RefSeq lists it as uncharacterized. Lineage: Eukaryota; Viridiplantae; Streptophyta; Magnoliopsida; Poales; Poaceae. The record is from RefSeq and is a predicted model, not a curated record. The transcript has 3 exons.